Molecule: non-coding RNA, 429 nt
Organism: Cinara cedri
Lineage: Eukaryota; Metazoa; Arthropoda; Insecta; Hemiptera; Aphididae
Source: the annotation of a GenBank genome assembly
CAAUCUGCUAUCUACAUUAGUAGAUGAAUUUUGGAACUUUCGGAAUAUAACGACGACCGCGCGUGACGUAGUUGCGGAACAUUUUCGUCAGAGGGAGCCACAAUAGCGUAGCGGCAGAUCCGUUACGCACAACGGCACAAUAUCGAAACCGGUCGGAGACCCGAACUUGUAUUGCUAACUGGCUCGGAGCAGCGCCUUUGCACAACCUCUUUUUUUCUUGGUUUUCUUUAUACUUUUAGGGCCGGUGUAACAAUCAUCAGUUUUGUUUCGAUUACGAUUUAAUGUUCCGUAAAAAAAAACUGCCUGUAUUAAAAAACUUCCGUGACGCUAAAAAGAGUCAAUUACGUUUCGGUUUACUUAUCGACCGAUGUCGAAUAUGAUUGCAGUUCGUUAAAGCUUUUGAUUAGCAGCUGGGUUCGUGUGUUUACU